ACGGCUGUGUCCUUAUUCCGCCAAUAAAUUAUCCCCUCGCUCUCAUCCUUGUGUUUUUUUGGGUUAUAGUAGAAGCCAUAAAGGUUAUAAAUAUUUUGAUCCCAGUCUAAUAAAUUUUAUAUUUCGCACCAUGUUGUGUUCAAUGAAUAGAUUUUUCCUUUUGCCAAGUAUGAUGGUGUGGAUACCACUACAUUCUCCAUGACUAAU
RNAcentral lists this long non-coding RNA (207 nucleotides) under Carica papaya (papaya). Its description in RNAcentral is "long non-coding RNA (CPAP_LNC009820)". The record is from RNAcentral. Lineage: Eukaryota; Viridiplantae; Streptophyta; Magnoliopsida; Brassicales; Caricaceae.